GCUACUGCCGGCGGUCACGUGCUGGGCACUGGCUCCAGCCCAGACCGGCCGGGACCGAGCAAGGCGGGUCAGAGCCGCUGCGCGCUAGGGCGCCUCCAGGACCUGCGGUCGUGAGGAGGCCGGUCCGAGCCCGGGCCUUCCCCGCGGUGGCAGGCAGAGGUGACGUGGCUCUCUGGCUGCUGGGCGCGGGACGGAGGCAGGGCAGGCUGUCGCUGUUACUUGGGUCAUCCCGUGUGUCUUGUCACCUAGCAGCCCGACCUCAGGCCUGGAAGAAGGCCUAAGGCCUCUGCAAGGUUGUGUUCCAGCCCAGAGGGAUGAAGGUGAUAUGGCCUUCCAUGGAGGAUGCAGGUGGGCCCUGCCAUCAAGCCAACAAACAAACAGAAGUGGCCCCAGGGAACAGGUGAAGUUUCUGAAGCAAGAAUUUAUUCCAAGUGUACAUAUGGGUGUGGACCACAACCACAGAACCUGCAUCACUAAGUGGAAACACACAUUCUAAACAGAUCACCGGUCUCUCACAACCCUGCCCUUUCCUGGCCACCUUCUGACCUGAGUUCACAAGGAGAGGGCCUCCUAAUUCCCAAACAAAACAUAGGUACCUAAGGGCUGAGAGAAUUACACAUCCUUAUUUUUAUUAAUGUCUACCAAGAAAUAAAGCACUUCCUGCCUG
Tupaia belangeri chinensis (Chinese tree shrew) is the source of this 667-nucleotide long non-coding RNA. RefSeq lists it as uncharacterized. The transcript is spliced from 2 exons. NCBI's taxonomy places the organism in Eukaryota, Metazoa, Chordata, Mammalia, Scandentia, Tupaiidae. The record is from RefSeq and is a predicted model, not a curated record.